RNAcentral lists this ribosomal RNA (492 nucleotides) under uncultured bacterium. RNAcentral's name for it is "partial 16S ribosomal RNA". It matches the Rfam family "Bacterial small subunit ribosomal RNA", at positions 29 to 507 of the family's 1533-position model. The record is from RNAcentral.
AGUGAACGCUGGCGGUAGGCCUAACACAUGCAAGUCGAACGGCAGCACAGUAAGAGCUUGCUCUUACGGGUGGCGAGUGGCGGACGGGUGAGGAAUACAUCGGAAUCUACUUUUUCGUGGGGGAUAACGUAGGGAAACUUACGCUAAUACCGCAUACGACCUACGGGUGAAAGCAGGGGAUCUUCGGACCUUGCGCGAUUGAAUGAGCCGAUGUCGGAUUAGCUAGUUGGCGGGGUAAAGGCCCACCAAGGCGACGAUCCGUAGCUGGUCUGAGAGGAUGAUCAGCCAUACUGGAACUGCGACACGGUCCAGACUCCUACGGGAGGCAGCAGUGGGGAAUAUUGGACAAUGGGCGCAAGCCUGAUCCAGCCAUACCGCGUGGGUGAAGAAGGCCUUCGGGUUGUAAAGCCCUUUUGUUGGGAAAGAAAAGCAGCAGGUUAAUACCCCGCUGUUCUGACGGUACCCAAAGAAUAAGCACCGGCUAACUUCGUG